This 207-nucleotide ribosomal RNA is filed under the name uncultured bacterium. RNAcentral's name for it is "partial 16S ribosomal RNA". It matches the Rfam family "Bacterial small subunit ribosomal RNA", at positions 568 to 774 of the family's 1533-position model. The record is from RNAcentral.
CGCGUAGGCGGAUAGUUUAGUCAGAGGUGAAAGCCCAGGGCUCAACCUUGGAAAUGCCUUUGAUACUGGCUAUCUUGAGUACGGGAGAGGUGUGUGGAACUCCGAGUGUAGAGGUGAAAUUCGUAGAUAUUCGGAAGAACACCGGUAGCGAAGGCGACACACUGGCCCGUUACUGACGCUGAGGCGCGAAAGCGUGGGGAGCAAACA